RNAcentral lists this long non-coding RNA (812 nucleotides) under Sinocyclocheilus grahami. RNAcentral's name for it is "lncRNA (ENSSGRG00000006856.1)". The record is from RNAcentral. Lineage: Eukaryota; Metazoa; Chordata; Actinopteri; Cypriniformes; Cyprinidae.
UUCAAAAUUUUUAGACAGCUAAAUUAUUAUUUUUUUUCUGUCAAGAAGCAUAACCGCUGCUGGACAUCACUCUGGGACUCAGGGGGGGACCCGAAUCAUCCUCACCCCUUCAUUCACACAACACUCACUCAUAUCACAGAGAUCUGGCUGGGAUUGAACCAGCGACCUCUGAACCAUGAGGCAGCGCUCUUACCUACAGAAAAAGACAUUCUCCUGCGUCCUGAGUUAGAAGAGGUCAUGGCCAGUCACCCGACAUGUUUUAAGCUGUGGUACACCAUCGACAGGGAUCCAGACGGUAAAAAUGUGUUGAUUUACAGAUGCUGUUUAGCCAAAUCACCAACCUCAGUUUAGGUGACUUACUCCAGUUCAACCAGACAUUAAUAAUCAAACAAAAGAUAACAAGCAGAAGUCAUUAACUUGAGGUGUGUGCUAGGAAGAGAGUACAGCCAAGGCUUCAUCACUGAGAACACGAAGAACCUCCUUCCUCCAUCUGCAGAUGACACACUUCCCAUGAUGCAGUUCACCUACAAACCUGUAUUUCUUGAUCCUUGUCCAGCACCUUAUUUAAUCCAUCUGAUACAAAUCAGCAGAUUUUCAGAGAGCCAAAUGAACUGAACUGUCUGUCAGAUAAGAGACAUAAAUGAGAGUUGAGCAAAUUAUUGUUAUUUACCAAAUGUUGCACUGAUGAGAUUCAGUUCUAAGCGUGGGUUUAAAUAAAAACAAUAUGUAUAUGCCCUAUCUUUUGAAGGGCAAAUAAUUUAUCAUUGGACUUUUAAUUAUUUCAGCUCAUUUUUAUGACCUGCUUGCAGUUC